GAGGGUAUAGCUCAGUGGCAGAGUGCAUACCUAGCAUGCACAACGUCCUGGGUUCCAUUCCCAGUGCCUCUG
Transfer RNA from Camelus ferus (Wild Bactrian camel), 72 nucleotides. It matches the Rfam family "tRNA". From Rfam's summary of the family: Transfer RNA (tRNA) molecules are approximately 80 nucleotides in length. Lineage: Eukaryota; Metazoa; Chordata; Mammalia; Artiodactyla; Camelidae. The record is from Rfam.